Molecule: ribosomal RNA, 274 nt
Filed under: uncultured bacterium
Lineage: Bacteria
Description: partial 16S ribosomal RNA
Rfam family: Bacterial small subunit ribosomal RNA
Source: RNAcentral
UACGUAGGGGGCGAGCGUUGUCCGAAGUUACUGGGCGUAAAGCGCGCGUAGGCGGUCCUUUAAGUCUGGGGUGAAAGGUUCAGCGCUCAACGCGAACAGUGCCUUGGAUACUGGGGGACUUGAGUCUGGGAGAGGGCAGUGGAAUUCCUGGUGUAGCGGUGAAAUGCGUAGAUAUCAGGAGGAACACCGGUGGCGAAGGCGGCUGCCUGGCCUAAGACUGACGCUGAGGUGCGAAAGCGUGGGGAGCGAACGGGAUUAGAAACCCCCGUAGUCC